GCCUUCGUGGUGUAGUGGUUCUGCACGCUAGAUCGCUAUUCCAGAGGUCCUUGGUUCGAGUCCUGGCGAAGGCG
This is a non-coding RNA of Stegodyphus dumicola, 74 nucleotides long. Lineage: Eukaryota; Metazoa; Arthropoda; Arachnida; Araneae; Eresidae. The record is from the annotation of a RefSeq genome assembly.